Drosophila ananassae is the source of this 1405-nucleotide long non-coding RNA. RefSeq lists it as uncharacterized. The transcript has 4 exons. The record is from RefSeq and is a predicted model, not a curated record. Lineage: Eukaryota; Metazoa; Arthropoda; Insecta; Diptera; Drosophilidae.
AACGCCAAAAUGCCGAAAUACCGAAAUGCCAUGCAGCAAAAACAGUUUGCAUUUGUUUUUCCGCGUGUUCGCACACGUUCACGGCAGCAAGAACAACAACGCGCGGUGUUGUGAGCUUGCCACAAAAAAAAAGAGAAAAAUAUUAUAGAAAAGAAAUAGAAAGAAAUAUUCAAAUAAAAAAAAAGCAAGCAAUAAAAAAAGAAAGCAACCUUUGUGGCAAAUCGAAUAAUGUCGGCAAAAUGUUUGAGGAAAUGCAGUGCGUGUGCAUGAAGGAACAAACUAAAAUGCCACUGGGAAAAGUACUCUGGACAAGUGAACAAGACAAGAAGUAAACAAAAGUAUAUUCAAUAAAAUAUAUAUAUACAAAUUACAAAAACAAGCCAACAAUUAAGAGAGAAACUAAAAAAACAAUCCCUGGAAAACCGGAAAAAUGUGCGGCAGCCAAGUUGGCUGCCUUUGAGGCUGACUGAGUGGCUCCAAGAAGCACUCGGAAAAAAUAAACCAAAACCCGAAGCCAAAAACAAGAAACUAAAAAAUAAACAUUAAAAAAAAAAGAGAGAGAGAGAGAGAGAGAGAGAGAGAGAGAAGAAGAAAAAGAAAAGUUUUAGAAUUAUUACAAAAGAAUCUUCUAUAUUUGAAAUAUUUUCAAAACAAAUUCAAAACUUAAUUAUAUUAACUCAUAAUUAACUAUUUGAUAAUUAAUUAAUUAAUUAAUUAAAUAGUAAACAAAGCUCAAAUAGACUGAAAUAGAGUCCAAAUAUAUUACGAAAGUAAAAUGCAAUUAAUUCAACAUAUCAUAUAAAUUAAUUAGAACAAAUUGCAUUUAAGUUAUUUAAAAAAAAAAACAAAAACCAGAAAGAAAACAAGAACAGAAAAGCAAACAAGAAGCGUACAAUAAUAAAAAAUAAUUUAAUAAAAAAGCAAUGAACCAAAAGUAACAAUAAAAAAUUCAAGCAAAAAUAAACACAAACAGAAGAUCAAAGUGCGGUGACUUUUGCUCCCAAAAGCCCAAAAAAAAACAAAAACACUAAUAAUUAAUAAUUAAUAAUUAAUAAUACAAUAAAAAAUUAAUUUCGCGUUAAAUAAUAAUAGUGUUUAAAUGGAACAACUGACCUAAGAGGCCCCGAGCGACACAAGACGAGGAAAAAUAUUAAAAAAAGGUAAGUCACUCAACGUGAAAUUUUCCCCCCCGGAACAUCAUCAAUUUAUGCGCCCCGAAUGUAAUGAUGUGUAUGUAAGUGAAAGACGAUUUUCUUAUUGAUUAAAUUACACACACAUGAGGACACAUCCAGCCAGUCGGCCAGGACACAUAUAUAGUAGGUUUAAUCCUAUAUGUUGGCUCCACUUUGGGCGAUAAAUUUCAUACACAGAGUACAGAGUCCCCCCCUCAGACCUCAUACAGACA